AGGGUUCGAUCCUGGCUCAGGAUGAACGCUGGCGGCGUGCUUAACACAUGCAAGUCGAACGAAGCAUUUGCGACAGAUUUCUUCGGAUUGAAGUUGCUUAUGACUGAGUGGCGGACGGGUGAGUAACGCGUGGGUAACCUGCCUCACACAGGGGGAUAGCAGUUGGAAACGGCUGAUAAUACCGCAUAAGCGCACAGUACCGCAUGGUACAGUGUGAAAAACUCCGGUGGUGUGAGAUGGACCCGCGUCUGAUUAGCUUGUUGGCAGGGUAACGGCCUACCAAGGCAACGAUCAGUAGCCGACCUGAGAGGGUGACCGGCCACAUUGGGACUGAGACACGGCCCAG
RNAcentral lists this ribosomal RNA (346 nucleotides) under uncultured bacterium. Its description in RNAcentral is "bacterial SSU rRNA". It matches the Rfam family "Bacterial small subunit ribosomal RNA", at positions 8 to 334 of the family's 1533-position model. The record is from RNAcentral.